UUGAAUUCCAAUUGGGUCAGGUUGUGCUGGCUGAAAAAGCAAGUGCACGCCUGCUCAUAAGCAUUCAAACCUCUGUGCACCUUUCAUAGAAUAGCUUGUAGAUUGGGUGACCUGUGUCACUUGGUUUGCAGCUGCUCUGUGUUUUUUACAAACUUAUAAAUCAGUUCAGAAUGUUUAUUGUGUAAAUACACAUUUUUAUUA
This 201-nucleotide unclassified non-coding RNA is filed under the name soil metagenome. Its description in RNAcentral is "partial internal transcribed spacer 1". The record is from RNAcentral.